UACGGAGGGUGCAAACGUUACUAGGAAUCAUUGGGCGUAAAGCGCACGUAGGCGGUCUGGCAAGUCGGAUGUGAAAGCCCUCGGCUCAACCGAGGAAGUGCAACGGAAACUACCGGACUGGAGUACAGAAGAGGAUCGCGGAAUUCCCGGUGUAGAGGUGAAAUUCGUAGAUAUAGGGAGGAACACCAGUGGCGAAGGCGGCGAUCUGGGCUGAUACUGACGCUGAGGUGCGAAAGCGUGGGGAGCAAACAGG
RNAcentral lists this ribosomal RNA (253 nucleotides) under uncultured bacterium. RNAcentral describes it as "partial 16S ribosomal RNA". It matches the Rfam family "Bacterial small subunit ribosomal RNA", at positions 524 to 776 of the family's 1533-position model. The record is from RNAcentral.